RNAcentral lists this small RNA (975 nucleotides) under Histoplasma ohiense. RNAcentral's name for it is "hypothetical lncRNA". Lineage: Eukaryota; Fungi; Ascomycota; Eurotiomycetes; Onygenales; Ajellomycetaceae. The record is from RNAcentral.
CACCUCUGCUCUGGAAGGAUCAGGCACAACCACAGUCUCCAAAACCUGCACCUCUGCAGACUCAGCCACUGCUCAGUGCUGGGACCAUAGAGCAUUUGUCCCUGCCCUGCUCUGAGCAGACAGCAUUGCCAGGUGAGGUGUGUUCAAUUGUUUAACUAAAUGACAAAGAUGACUUUUGUGGCUGGUCAUGUUCUCUCUGACUGCCACCCCCACAAAGAUAAAUGCUCACCCGCGCAUGAUGCGCCUCAGAAGAGGCAUAUCAUGCAUCUAGCAUCAUUAUCAAUAUAUCAACAUUGCUAAGAGCACUACUAUCUAUUCAAAAGCAAAUUUGAAGAAAAAGAAAAAGGAAAUAAGAAUUAAAGAGAAUUACUCACAGAUUUGCAGAAUUUCUCUGCAGAGACACAAGUCUCACAAUGCUUCCAGGCAUUUGACCUCAACACACAUCAAAAGUCAACAUCUCUCAGCUUGGAGGCACAACAUUCACACAGAAUCCGACUGUUGUGUGUCACGUGAUUAGGGCUAGGGCAAUAUAACAAGCGAACAGUGAAUGGCGCUAUACGGAAACAAGCUAGUGGCGCACGUGACCACACUAAUAACACCACUGACAAGGAACACCAGCAAUAAUACACAAUAAGCACCAGCGAGGAAACAACUUACUUAAAAUUGAAAUAACUGAGGGAGCCCAUUUCGAUAUAAAAAGAGGGGAGGGAGAAUGAUGAUAUAAAAAAUUUAAAAAUUUUUUAUUGGAGAUGAAAAAUCACAGCAGAAUGGGAAGAAGUUUUGAUGAUGGUCAAGUUAAAAAAGAAGAGAAAUCUUCAAGAGGAAAGAAAUUCUUUUUGCUUCUCUGCACACAACCCCUGGCAAUCAAAGAAUCCACCAAUUCCACCUCAUUAGAAAAUCGAUAACAACGCGUAUACAAGCUAUCUAGGGGAUGUGAUUGAUACACUACAGAAAUGUGAUUAUCUACUAGCAAGC